Molecule: ribosomal RNA, 327 nt
Filed under: uncultured eukaryote
Lineage: Eukaryota
Description: partial 18S ribosomal RNA
Rfam family: Eukaryotic small subunit ribosomal RNA
Source: RNAcentral
CCCUUAGAUGCUCUGGGCCGCACGCGCGCUACACUGACGAAUGCAACGAGCUUAUAACCUUGGCCGAAAGGUCUGGGUAAUCUCCAAAUUUCGUCGUGAUGGGGAUAGAUUAUUGCAAUUAUUAAUCUUCAACGAGGAAUGCCUAGUAAGCGCAAGUCAUCAGCUUGCGUUGAUUACGUCCCUGCCCUUUGUACACACCGCCCGUCGCUCCUACCGAUUGAAUGGUCCGGUGAAGCGUUCGGACCGUGGCCUUUGGACGGUUCGCCGUCUGUUGGCUGCGGGAAGUUCGUUAAACCUUAUCAUUUAGAGGAAGGAGAANUCGUANCA